Molecule: ribosomal RNA, 1439 nt
Filed under: uncultured bacterium
Lineage: Bacteria
Description: bacterial SSU rRNA
Rfam family: Bacterial small subunit ribosomal RNA
Source: RNAcentral
AGAGUUUGAUCCUGGCUCAGAACGUACGCUGGCGGCACGCCUAACACAUGCGAGUCGAACGAAGUAGCAAUACUUAGUGGCAGACGGGUGAGUAACAUGUAGGUAUCUGCCCUUUGGCCUGGAAUAACACGAGGAAACUUGUGCUAAUACCGGAUAAGUCUUUACGGAGAAAGCUUUAUGCACCAUUGGAUGAGCCUGCACUUGAUUAGUUUGUUGGUGGGGUAAUGGCCUACCAAGACUGUGAUCAAUAGCUGAUUUGAGAGGAUGAUCAGCCACAUUGGGACUGAGACACGGCCCAAACUCCUACGGGAGGCAGCAGUGGGGAAUCUUGCACAAUGGAGGAAACUCUGAUGCAGCGAUGCCGCGUGAGUGAAGAAGGCCCUUGGGUUGUAAAGCUCUUUCGUCGGGGAAGAAAAUGACUGUACCCGAAUAAGAAGGUCCGGCUAACUUCGUGCCAGCAGCCGCGGUAAUACGAAGGGACCUAGCGUAGUUCGGAAUUACUGGGCUUAAAGAGUUCGUAGGUGGUUGAAAAAGUUAGUGGUGAAAUCCCAGAGCUUAACUCUGGAACUGCCAUUAAAACUUUUCAGCUAGAGUAUGAUAGAGGAAAGCAGAAUUUCUAGUGUAGAGGUGAAAUUCGUAGAUAUUAGAAAGAAUACCAAUUGCGAAGGCAGCUUUCUGGAUCAUUACUGACACUGAGGAACGAAAGCAUGGGUAGCGAAGAGGAUUAGAUACCCUCGUAGUCCAUGCCGUAAACGAUGUGUGUUAGACGUUGGAAAUUUAUUUUCAGUGUCGCAGGGAAACCGAUAAACACACCGCCUGGGGAGUACGACCGCAAGGUUAAAACUCAAAUGAAUUGACGGGGACCCGCACAAGUAGUGGAGCAUGUGGUUUAAUUCGAAGAUACGCGCAGAACCUUACCAACACUUGACAUGUUCGUCGCGACUCUAAGAGAUUAGAGUUUUCGGUUCGGCCGGACGAAACACAGGUGCUGCAUGGCUGUCGUCAGCUCGUGUCGUGAGAUGUUGGGUUAAGUCCCGCAACGAGCGCAACCCUCACUUUUAGUUGCCAUCAUUAAGUUGGGCACUCUGAAAGAACUGCCAGUGAUAAGCUGGAGGAAGGUGGGGAUGACGUCAAGUCCUCAUGGCCCUUACGUGUUGGGCUACACACGUGCUACAAUGGUAUCUACAACAGGAAGCAAGACUGCGAAGUUAAGCAAAUCCCUAAAAGAUACCUCAGUUCGGAUUGCACUCUGCAACUCGAGUGCAUGAAGCUGGAAUUACUAGUAAUCGUGGAUCAGCGUGCCACGGUGAAUGCGUUCCCGGGUCUUGUACACACCGCCCGUCACACCAUGGGAGUUGGUUCUACCUUAAGGCAAGGUUUCAAACCCUUGACCACGGUAUAGUCAGCGACUGGGGUGAAGUCGUAACAAGGUAGCCGUA